CAUGUCUCCAUGAGUUGAUGUAUUUUUGUUGCUGUCUAUUUGUGGAGAUUAUUGAUGUUGCAAUCAGUUUAAUAAGAAUUUUUUGGAGGGUUAGUUUCCCUCCCAAUAAUUUUGGAGAUGAGUAUGUUUCUGUUUUGAUGUGGAGCUUCUCUUUGAGCUGCUAAUGUUGAACUUUUUUACUCAUAUGCUAUAUUGGCAGCGUCAAAUGAUGAUGGUAAGUU
This 221-nucleotide unclassified non-coding RNA is filed under the name Hevea brasiliensis (rubber tree). Lineage: Eukaryota; Viridiplantae; Streptophyta; Magnoliopsida; Malpighiales; Euphorbiaceae. The record is from RNAcentral.